RNAcentral lists this ribosomal RNA (420 nucleotides) under uncultured bacterium. Its description in RNAcentral is "bacterial SSU rRNA". It matches the Rfam family "Bacterial small subunit ribosomal RNA", at positions 357 to 774 of the family's 1533-position model. The record is from RNAcentral.
AGGAAUAUUGGGCAAUGCCCGCAAGGGUGACCCAGCAACGCCGCGUGGAGGAUGAAUGUCGUAAGAUUGUAAACUCCUGUUAGAGGGGAAGAAUAGUACCGGUUGGACCGGUAUAUGACUGUACCCUCAGAGAAAGCCCCGGCUAACUACGUGCCAGCAGCCGCGGUAAUACGUAGGGGGCAAGCGUUGUCCGGAUUUCCUGGGUGUAAAGGGCGCGCAGGCGGGAUAAAAAGUCAGUGGUGAAAUCCUACAGCUUAACUGUAGAACUGCCUUUGAUACUUUUAUUCUUGAGUUCGGGAGAGAGAGACGGAAUUCCAGGUGUAGUGGUGAAAUACGUAGAUAUCUGGAAGAACACCAGUUGCGAAGGCGGUCUCUUGGUCCGACACUGACGCUGAGGCGCGAAAGCGUGGGAAGCAAACA